RNAcentral lists this ribosomal RNA (490 nucleotides) under uncultured bacterium. Its description in RNAcentral is "partial 16S ribosomal RNA". It matches the Rfam family "Bacterial small subunit ribosomal RNA", at positions 30 to 507 of the family's 1533-position model. The record is from RNAcentral.
AUUGAACGCUGGCGGCAGGCCUAACACAUGCAAGUCGAACGGUAACAGGGAUCAGCUUGCUGAUUCGCUGCCGAGCGGCGGACGGGUGAGUAAUGUCUGGGAAACUGCCUGAUGGAGGGGGAUAACUACUGGAAACGGUAGCUAAUACCGCAUAACGUCGCAAGACCAAAGAGGGGGACCUUCGGGCCUCUUGCCAUCGGAUGUGCCCAGAUGGGAUUAGCUAGUAGGUGGGGUAACGGCUCACCUAGGCGACGAUCCCUAGCUGGUCUGAGAGGAUGACCAGCCACACUGGAACUGAGACACGGUCCAGACUCCUACGGGAGGCAGCAGUGGGGAAUAUUGCACAAUGGGCGCAAGCCUGAUGCAGCCAUGCCGCGUGUAUGAAGAAGGCCUUCGGGUUGUAAAGUACUUUCAGCGGGGAGGAAGGGAGUAAAGUUAAUACCUUUGCUCAUUGACGUUACCCGCAGAAGAAGCACCGGCUAACUCCGUG